This is a small nuclear RNA of Cebus imitator (Panamanian white-faced capuchin), 98 nucleotides long. NCBI's taxonomy places the organism in Eukaryota, Metazoa, Chordata, Mammalia, Primates, Cebidae. The record is from Ensembl.
GUGCUCACUUACCUCAAUAGCAUAUAUACUAAAAUUGGAAAGAUACAGGGAAGAUUAGCACGGCCCCUGCACAAAUUUGUGAAGUGUUCCAUUAAAAA